This 631-nucleotide ribosomal RNA is filed under the name Calycanthus chinensis. Its description in RNAcentral is "eukaryotic LSU rRNA". The stretch from base 211 to 366 matches the Rfam family "5.8S ribosomal RNA". Lineage: Eukaryota; Viridiplantae; Streptophyta; Magnoliopsida; Laurales; Calycanthaceae. The record is from RNAcentral.
ACGACAGACCGGUGAACUGUAUUAAUUUGACUGCCUCUACCCCCGUUGUACCUCACGGUGCGGUCGGGUGGCAGACCUCUCUUAACAAAGCAACUCCCAGCGCCAGCGCGCCAAGGACCUGUAUUCAAUCGGAACGGACGCAGUGGGCGACCCCAACAGGGGCGUGCCCGCUGCGCGACCGAACUGAACAUCUCACUUGUGUACGUAUGACUCUUUCGGUAACGGAUAUCUCGGCUCUCGCAUCGAUGAAGAACGUAGCGAAAUGUGAUACUUGGUGUGAAUUGGAGAAUCCAGUGAACCAUCGAGUCUUUAAAAGCAAGUUGCGCCCAAGGCCAUCCGGUUGAGGGCACGCCUGCCUGGGCGUCACGCCACCCAUCGCUCCCCCCCCACCCCAACCCAAUUCGACCCGGAGGUGACGCGGAGACUGGUUGCCCGUGCCGGAGACGAUCUCCAUGCGCGGUCAGCCCAAAUGCAAGAAAGCUGCGCAGUUGGGCGUGACGAGUGGUGGCAGGGGCAGAGCUGUGGACGCAGCGCCUACCCAUGUUGCGCUACGUGGAAUGAGAGGGGCACGGAUUGCAAGCCGCCGGUGUGACUUGAGUGGAUCGGCGUGCCGGCUCUUGAACUACGACCG